UGUAGUAUAAUGUUUAUGCAUAUGGGUUUUUGAUUCUCAUUGAAAAGCUUAAUUGUUUUUAUUACAG
RNAcentral lists this transfer RNA (67 nucleotides) under Taharana fasciana. RNAcentral describes it as "tRNA-Gln". The record is from RNAcentral. Lineage: Eukaryota; Metazoa; Arthropoda; Insecta; Hemiptera; Cicadellidae.